This 301-nucleotide ribosomal RNA is filed under the name uncultured bacterium. RNAcentral describes it as "partial 16S ribosomal RNA". It matches the Rfam family "Bacterial small subunit ribosomal RNA", at positions 509 to 807 of the family's 1533-position model. The record is from RNAcentral.
CAGUCGCCGCGGUAAUACGAAGGGGGCUAGCGUUGUUCGGAAUCACUGGGCGUAAAGGGUGCGUAGGCGGAUUCUUAAGUCAGGGGUGAAAUCCCGAGGCUCAACCUCGGAACUGCCUUUGAUACUGGGGAUCUUGAGUCCGGAAGAGGUGAGUGGAACUGCGAGUGUAGAGGUGAAAUUCGUAGAUAUUCGCAAGAACACCAGUGGCGAAGGCGGCUCACUGGUCCGGAACUGACGCUGAGGCACGACAGCGUGGGGAGCAAACAGGAUUAGAUACCCCCGUAGUCCCUGUCUCUUAUAC